RNAcentral lists this transfer RNA (73 nucleotides) under Ipomoea nil (Japanese morning glory). It matches the Rfam family "tRNA". Rfam says of the family: Transfer RNA (tRNA) molecules are approximately 80 nucleotides in length. Their secondary structure includes four short double-helical elements and three loops (D, anti-codon, and T loops). Further hydrogen bonds mediate the characteristic L-shaped molecular structure. tRNAs have two regions of fundamental functional importance: the anti-codon, which is responsible for specific mRNA codon recognition, and the 3' end, to which the tRNAs corresponding amino acid is attached (by aminoacyl-tRNA synthetases). tRNAs cope with the degeneracy of the genetic code in two manners: having more than one tRNA (with a specific anti-codon) for a particular amino acid; and 'wobble' base-pairing, i.e. permitting non-standard base-pairing at the 3rd anti-codon position. The record is from Rfam by way of RNAcentral. Lineage: Eukaryota; Viridiplantae; Streptophyta; Magnoliopsida; Solanales; Convolvulaceae.
GACGGUUUGGCUGAGUGGUCUCAAGAUUUAGGCUCUGGUCCUAAGGGCGUGGGUUCAAAUCUCACAGCUAUCA